This is a long non-coding RNA of Physella acuta, 538 nucleotides long. RefSeq lists it as uncharacterized. Lineage: Eukaryota; Metazoa; Mollusca; Gastropoda; Physidae. The record is from RefSeq and is a predicted model, not a curated record.
UUGUUUAUUUUAAUAUCAAACUCGCGCACUUAAUGUAAGCUGAACUGUAUGUGCUUUCCAAAUACAGUACAGGUACAGGUAACGAAUUUCGUAAGCUUAAAGUUAAUAGCCUACAAAAGUAAGAAGAUGAAAUCUUCUCUGUUCCUCUCUGUUUCUCUGCUAACAUUCUGGAUGGUCGACAGUAAUAGUCUGCUAGGGUCAGUCUUGCUUAUAACAUCUUGUCCUGAGGUCAAACAUGAGCCAUCGAUCUAUUGUCUCAGCGAAUGCGAGACUGACAGCACCUGCGACAAACUUAGCAUGUGCUGUGACAACGGCUGUGGUUGGAAAAAGUGCAUGAUCGUCAGGGCGAGCUGCAGUGAGGACGGUAAAACGAUCCCCCAUCAUGAUCCAAUGAAGUACAUCGCCAGGGACAAGAACGACUGUGGUACUUGUUGGUGUCAGAACGGACAUAAAGAUUGUCGCAGCUUCCCUUGUCCCUAGUGUCUGGCAUUCCAUACCAUGGCUUCCCAUGUAAACAAUUGCUUGUCAAUAAACGCCA